UAUCGUUGACGAAGCUAAACGCGGGGUCGCCAUUACUGGGUUGAGAGGAAAGAGUUGUGGGUUGUGGUUGAUUGUUUAGUGUGUGUGCGUGUGUGGUAUUUGUGUUUUCAUUUAACAAUGGUCGACAAGAUAGAAAUGAGUUUGGAUGAUAUCAUUAAGUCCUCCAAAAUGAUUAGAGGUAGCGGAAGACGAGGUCGAGGAGGACAAAGAGGUUCCAGUAUACCAAGACGAGGUAGAGGUGGGCCGACGAGGGGAAUUGGAGCCGGAAGAAGUCGCCGCGGAAUGGUGCGAUCAGCGCCUUAUUCAAGGGGAGACAUUAACAGCAAAUGGCAGCAUGAUAUGUUUGAUGGAUCCGGAAGCAAGAAGGCGAGAAUGAGUUUCGGGGGAUCGCUACCCACUGGUGGUCCUGCGAAGUUGUUAGUUGCCAAUCUCGAUUUUGGUGUAUCGGAUUCGGAUAUACAGGAGCUUUUUUCAGAAUUUGGGCCUCUGAAGUCCGCUGCGGUACAUUAUGACCGUUCUGGUAGGUCACUGGGUACAGCGGAUGUUAUAUUUGAAAGAAAAGCUGAUGCAAUAAAAGCAAUGAAACAGUACAAUGGUGUUCCCUUGGAUGGCAGAGCAAUGCAGAUUCAAAUGGCAACAUCAGAAAUACCCUCUGUAUUGCGUGGUGUUCGUGUGGGAGGUGGUGGAUACGUGCAAAGCCAAAGGUCCCGAUUGAGUGGCGGCAGUGGUGGUGGAAGUGGAGGAAGGGGAAGAGGUCGAGGUGGCAAGGGGUACAUUCGGCCUGUUGAAGUCUCCUUACAUAGAACAUCCACCAGUUGAAUCCACAUAACAUCUGGCUUCUCCGGGUAUGCGAAAGAAGGUUGUGGAUCUCAUAGAUGAAGAAAUGUCACCUUCAGUUCUUCUUCAUCUUUCCCAAAAAUGCCUACGCCGUGGUGGAAGAGGUGGUCCAAGAAACCAGUCAAGAUCACUUCCUACAGCUGAGGAGCUGGAUGCUGAAUUAGAUGCCUAUGUAAACAAAAUUAAGUAACAGAUGGAAACCUUGUGCCAUUGUGGAAAAGAUAUAGAGUGAAUGUGUGAAUCUGACAUACCUGCCUUUCGCAGUUUAGCGUUUGACUGACUGUUCAAUUUUGCGUGCAGUUAAUGUACACAUUGGAUUGAAGACUUUACAAUAGAGUUGUAACAAGAGUUUCUGCGUGAUGCAGGAGGAUUUGCUGGUAGAUAAUUUUACAUGGAUAAUGUCUGGGUUUUGAUCUCCUUGAAUACCUGUUGUAAUAUUUCAGGACAUACUGUGAAGCGAAUUAUACUGAAUUUCAACACUGUUAAAUAAAAUAUUUUCUCAUUGUUAAAAUUACUGCCAUGUAUUAAGCAAGUGGAAUAUUCUAACUCUGGUUUAGUUUUACAGCUGAACUGCCUGCAUAGCUAUUUUGUACAUCUGAACUUUCCAACAUACAUUGCUUUCAUAAAUCAUAUACCCUGCAAUACAAAGCACCAAAUAUUUUAUUACAUGGAUUUUUUAUUUAUUUAUAGCACUUACAUUGCUUUAGCUCCUGAUAUUUGUCACCACACUAUAUAAAAAAAAUAUUGAAAAUUGAUACAUUUUUACAACUCCUAAAUACUGGUGACAAAACAACAAUGAAAGUGUUUCAGUUUGUAGUGAAUUAAUAUUACAUGGUGUGUGUUCUUUUAUAUGAUGUGCUAACAUGAGUGAAUGGUGAUUUUUGUGGUCCUGUAUAAAAUUAUGGAGUAAGUUGACACAGUGGAUCAUAAUUUCUGAAAUACAGACUUGCUCUUUGCUAGAUUCUUUUGUAGAUUUUAAGGUGAUCAUACAGCCUCACCUUCAGUCCUUACAGUGUGUGGCGUGCUUUUGCCAUCAGGCAGCCACAGUGGAAAACUGAAACAACAUAUUACCAAUAUGUGGCUAUGCAUGAUAAAUAGCUUUGAGUGCAACUGUUGACAAGGUUUUCAGUACCUUGUUUUGUAAAAUACAGUCCUCAAAUUGUAAUGUUUUAUACUAAACGUAUAUAAAUAUAGAACAAGGGAUUUCAUCAGUUUGAUAUUAAAUAAAUCUGUUGUGUGAAACUGUU
Schistocerca serialis cubense is the source of this 2084-nucleotide RNA transcript. It is a transcript of the gene named THO complex subunit 4, with no coding region annotated. Lineage: Eukaryota; Metazoa; Arthropoda; Insecta; Orthoptera; Acrididae. The transcript has 6 exons. The record is from RefSeq and is a predicted model, not a curated record.